UAAACCAACUUUGGAGUUCAUGACAUAGAAGCUUACUUGUGUAAGGAGGUGAUCAUCAUGUUAUUUUUUUGUGUGUGUGUAAAAGAAUGUUUUAUGUAGAUGUUAAAAGGUCAGAGACAUAAGAGAGCUUCAUCCUUUUAAGAUUGAUGAGAGUUAUUUUUUAGAAAAUAAAUGUACCUGCGAUGCACAUGCAUAGUCUGUGUAAUCCGGGUCUAUACAGUUAGGGUAUGUCGAAAAGCUCCCAUCUCGUUUUCGUCUUAAAUUUCAAAAUUGUCCUACAAUGCUGUUUUACAUUUUUUAUGUAAAGGGUAUUUGAUCUUCUUUGUAUGUUCACCUUGUAAAUACUCUGAAAUGUUCUGCAUUCUGUAGAAGACAAGAUGGGAGUUUUUCGACAUAUCCUAACUGUAUUGACUAAUAAUAAUAGUAAUAGUUGACUAAUCAAAAAAAUAAUUGUUAGAUUAGUCUAAAUAAAAAUAAUCGGUUAGUGGCAGCCCUAGAAGCAUUCAGGUAAGAAAAUCAAAUGUAGAAAUCACUUUAGUGCAGGGGUGCCCAACCCUGUUCCUGGAGACCUACCUUCCUGCAGAGUUUAGCUCCAACUCAUAUCAAACACACCUGUCUGUAAUUAUCCAGUGCUCCUUCAGAUCCUAAUUAGUUGGUUCAGGUGUCUUUGUGUUGGGUUGGAGCUGAACUCUGCAGGAAGGUAGAUCUCCAGGAACAGGGUUGAGCACCCCUACUACUAGUGUAUUCAUCACAAAUAGUUUUUUAAAACUACAAAAACAGUUUAGUCAAGAGCAGUCAGUGACUGUUUAAUAGUAAUGUGACAGAUGGCCUAUAGUAAAUAUAUAGACCUACUGUAAUGCACGGAUCUAAUAAUGUUACACAUGAAAUGUUUUUCCCCAACAGUUAACCAAACAUUCUUUUAAAACAUAACAGAUUAUGUUUGCAUUAAUUUUGCCUGUAGAUCAAAAUUUGCCUGUGCGCAUUCUGACUCCUUUUGCCCAGCACAAUCCACAACUGUGAAAUCUGAGAGCUUUCUGUCCCUCCAAUAGCCUAAGCAACUACUACCUUCUAACAGUAAGAUGCUGUCAAAAAAAAAAAAAAAAACACCAUGAAAA
Labeo rohita (rohu) is the source of this 1115-nucleotide long non-coding RNA. RefSeq lists it as uncharacterized. Lineage: Eukaryota; Metazoa; Chordata; Actinopteri; Cypriniformes; Cyprinidae. The record is from RefSeq and is a predicted model, not a curated record. The transcript has 2 exons.